CGCGGGGUGGAGCAGCGGUAGCUCGUUGGGCUCAUAACCCAAAGGUCGUAGGUUCGAUUCCUACCCCCGCUA
RNAcentral lists this transfer RNA (72 nucleotides) under Caldilineaceae bacterium. RNAcentral describes it as "tRNA-Met". It matches the Rfam family "tRNA". Rfam says of the family: Transfer RNA (tRNA) molecules are approximately 80 nucleotides in length. Their secondary structure includes four short double-helical elements and three loops (D, anti-codon, and T loops). Further hydrogen bonds mediate the characteristic L-shaped molecular structure. tRNAs have two regions of fundamental functional importance: the anti-codon, which is responsible for specific mRNA codon recognition, and the 3' end, to which the tRNAs corresponding amino acid is attached (by aminoacyl-tRNA synthetases). tRNAs cope with the degeneracy of the genetic code in two manners: having more than one tRNA (with a specific anti-codon) for a particular amino acid; and 'wobble' base-pairing, i.e. permitting non-standard base-pairing at the 3rd anti-codon position. The record is from RNAcentral. Lineage: Bacteria; Bacillati; Chloroflexota; Caldilineae; Caldilineales; Caldilineaceae.